Molecule: long non-coding RNA, 961 nt
Organism: Dreissena polymorpha
Lineage: Eukaryota; Metazoa; Mollusca; Bivalvia; Myida; Dreissenidae
Exons: 4
Source: RefSeq, a predicted model, not a curated record
CUGGUAGAGCCUGUCCAGCAGGCAUAUCUUCAGGUCCACACUCUGUCUCUCCACCCACACUGGCACAUCAAUGGCUGAACCCAGCGCUCGAAUGGAGAUCUAAAACAAGACACAUUGGAUCAGUGAACCUGACAAGAAACUCAACGUCAGCCUUCCCGGGCACAGAGGGAUUCCAAAUGAUCUCGAGCUUUGUUGAGGAGAAUGGGGGGAUUUCUCCCGUGGAUAUUGGACCCACUUUCAUCCCGUCCAGGGUGCCAUAGUCGUCAUACUCACUCACUUGAAUGUCUGGAGACAGCCCGCCCUCAAUACCAUCUGUAGAGAAAACAAAAGCCCUUAUGCUGGCCAAUACACAGGAAGCACCAGGGCUUGUAUUCACAAUCCCAUUUUGCUAACUUGGAAUACAGAAUAGACGUACUAAGAAUUCUACUCAAGAUAACUCUAGUGUUCAGCCCAGACUCACCUGUGACCUUGAAGAACUCAAAAGUGAUGCCAAGAGCUCACAGACUCACCUGUGAUCUUGAAGAACUCAAAGGUGGUGCCCAGAGCUCCCAGACUCACCUGUGACCUUAAAGAAUUCAAAGGUGGUGCCCAGAGCUCCAAGACUUACCUGUGACCUCAAAGAACUCAAAGGUGAUGCCAAGAGCUCCAAGACUUACCUGUGACCUUAAAGAACUCAAAAGUGGUGCCCAGAGCUCCAAGACUUACCUGUGACCUUUAAGAACUCAAAAGUGGUGCCCAGAGCUCCCAGACUCACCUGUGACCUUAAAGAACUCAAAAGUGGUGCCCAGAGCUCCCAGACUCAUCUGUGACCUUGAAGAACUCAAAGGUGGUGCCCAGAGCUCCCAGAAUCACCUGUGACGUUAAAGAACUCAAAAGUGGUGCCCAGAGCUCCCAGACUCACCUGUGACCUUGAAGAACUCAAAGGUGGUGCCCAGAGCUCCCAGACUCACCUGUGACCUUG